UAAUCACUUCUUACGACAAACAAAGUGAAGGUAUAUAAAGUCUGUGUUUCCAUCUCUGAGACAUCCUGUGACCAGAAACUGCUGCUGGAACAGACUCUUCAACUAACCAUCAGAACAAGAUGGCUGCCGGUCUUCUCUUCUCUCUGCUUCUUGGUCUGAGCUUUGGACUCUGGGAUGGAGCUGAUGCGGCUCAAAUGAAAGUUGCAAACUGCAAUCAAUGCUCUUCUGGUUGGACUUGGCACAACGGUCGAUGUUACGUGUUUAUGAACAUUAAAUGUCC
This is a long non-coding RNA of Poeciliopsis prolifica (blackstripe livebearer), 280 nucleotides long. RefSeq lists it as uncharacterized. The record is from RefSeq and is a predicted model, not a curated record. The transcript has 5 exons. Lineage: Eukaryota; Metazoa; Chordata; Actinopteri; Cyprinodontiformes; Poeciliidae.